Molecule: ribosomal RNA, 460 nt
Filed under: uncultured bacterium
Lineage: Bacteria
Description: partial 16S ribosomal RNA
Rfam family: Bacterial small subunit ribosomal RNA
Source: RNAcentral
CCUACGGGUGGCUGCAGUGAGGAAUAUUGGUCAAUGGACGAGAGUCUGAACCAGCCAAGUAGCGUGAAGGAUGACUGCCCUAUGGGUUGUAAACUUCUUUUAUAAGGGAAUAAAACGCGGCACGUGUACCUUUUUGCAUGUACUUUAUGAAUAAGGAUCGGCUAACUCCGUGCCAGCAGCCGCGGUAAUACGGAGGAUCCGAGCGUUAUCCGGAUUUAUUGGGUUUAAAGGGAGCGUAGAUGGGUUGUUAAGUCAGUUGUGAAAGUUUGCGGCUCAACCGUAAAAUUGCAGUUGAUACUGGCAGCCUUGAGUACAGUUGAGGUAGGCGGAAUUCGUGGUGUAGCGGUGAAAUGCUUAGAUAUCACGAAGAACUCCGAUUGCGAAGGCAGCCUACUAAACUGUGACUGACACUGAUGCUCGAAAGUGUGGGUAUCAAACAGGAUUAGAUACCCGAGUAGUC